CCUACGGGGGGCAGCAGUGGGGAAUAUUGCGCAAUGGGGGCAACCCUGACGCAGCAACGCCGCGUGAUUGAUGAAGGUCUUCGGGUUGUAAAAAUCUUUAAUCAGGGACGAAACAAAUGACGGUACCUGAAGAAUAAGCUCCGGCUAACUACGUGCCAGCAGCCGCGGUAAUACGUAGGGAGCAUGCGUUAUCCGGAUUUACUGGGUGUAAAGGGCGUGUAGGCGGGCUUGUAAGUUGGAAGUGAAAUCUCGGGGCUUAACCCCGAAACUGCUUUCAAAACUGCGAGUCUUGAGUGAUGGAGAGGCAGGCGGAAUUCCCAGUGUAGCGGUGAAAUGCGUAGAUAUUGGGAGGAACACCAGUGGCGAAGGCGGCCUGCUGGACAUUAACUGACGCUGAGGCGCGAAAGCGUGGGGAGCAAACAGGAUUAGAUACCCUGUAGUC
This 442-nucleotide ribosomal RNA is filed under the name uncultured bacterium. RNAcentral describes it as "bacterial SSU rRNA". It matches the Rfam family "Bacterial small subunit ribosomal RNA", at positions 338 to 795 of the family's 1533-position model. The record is from RNAcentral.